UGUAGCUGUUUACCUAUGUGUCUAUGUAACUAUCUAUAUAUUUAAGUGUCUAUGCAUCAUCUAGCUACUUAUCAAUCAAUUCACCUAUUUAUCUACCUAUCAUGUUUCUAUCUAUGAUGAGUUAAUACUAUGCCUGCUUCAUCCAGACUCAGGUUGAGUCUGGUUAUGACAGAUCUUGCUAGAAACACUUAUCUGUGUAAUUGUUUUGUUCAUUUAGUUUUUCUAUGACACCAGACCUUGCUUGAGGGCAGGGAAUACAUGGGUUUUUUCUCAAUUUUAUCUCCUCAUUUCCUGGGAUGGCCAUGGGUUGACAUGCUUAAAUAUUUCUUUAGUGAACAGGGAUAAGAUUGCUGAAUGGUGAAGGAUGAACAAAAGGGCAAGUCAUGGAGCGGUUAAGGUGGCCCUGAGCCAGAGACUCGAGAGGAACACAAGCCAUUCAAGACCAGGAGGGGCUCAGACCUCGGGCAGGAGCCGCUGAUCUUCUGACCGCCCAGCCCUAAGCCCAGCACUGGGCUCUCAUCACCUCAUGGCACAUUUGGACCAAGCCUGGAGCACAUGUCUGGGUUUAUGAUGGGCGGAAAUUGUUUGCUGAACAAAAAGGAUUCUUACAUCUUCUGUGGGACGGCCUUGGAGACUGACAUGUAGGGGAAGAGCUGCUCGACUUCUGGUGAAAAUUUCAGCGUUGAAACGCACGCUGGGGGUGACGGGCACCUGCCCAUGGCAUCCUCAUGGUCAGCGUGGCCUCCCAGGCUCUGUCAUCCUGUCCCUCUGAUCAGUCCAGGGUGGGCAGGAGAGUCGCUGUGAUUUCAGCACUCGUGACCCUGCUCAGCCCCACUCCAUGGGGAAGGAGAGAAGCACCAGCCCCGGAGAGGACACACCCUGUGGUCUGUCUGUCCAGAGGACACCUAGAUCUCCUCCAUCCUCACAGCCUGGACCGCAGGGAGGAGACGCCAUGGCCCCCGCGCUCCCCGCCCUGCUCUGUCUCGGUGAGAUGAGGAGGCGCAGGGGGAGCCCUGGUCUGGAGGGAUACCCCCCCCAGCAACCCUGCUCCGUCAGGGGACCCCAGGGCCCAGGAGGCUCCCGGGGAGGAGAGGCACUGCUCAGAUCUGAGGGCAGACCUUUCACAGGGCGCUCUCUUCCAGGGCUGAGUGUGGGCCUGAGGACCCAAGUGCAGGCCAGUGAGUCUGUCUCAGGGCCUGGCUCCCUCCUCUCGUGGGGACAGGGGUCACACAGGGGACAGGGGAGGGACAGGGGAGGGAGGGGGCAGCUCAGGGCUCACGGAUGGGGAGUCUGGGAGGUCUGGGCUGAGAGCCGGAGCCUGGGCGCAGGGGAUGCCUGGUGAACCCGUCUCUAAUUUCCUUCCAGAGACCCUCCCAAAACCCACCAUCUGGGCAGAGCCAGGCUCUGUGGUCCCCAGGGGUAGCUCCGUGACCAUCUGGUGUCAGGGGUCCCCCAGGGCCCAGGAGUUCCAUCUGGAUAAAGAGGGAAACCCAGAUCUCUGGGACAGACAGAAACCCCCAGGUCCCGGGGACAAGGCCAGGUUCUCCAUCCACUACAUGAGAGAGGACCACGCAGGGAGCUAUCGGUGCUACUACGGAACCCGCACUGGCUGGUCAGAGCGCAGUGACCCCCUGCAGCUGGUGGUGACACGUGAGGGACUCUCGCGGGCCUCGGGCUCUGCCAUCAGGAGGGGGUCUGCUC
This 1701-nucleotide long non-coding RNA is filed under the name Bos indicus x Bos taurus (hybrid cattle). RNAcentral's name for it is "lncRNA (ENSBIXG00000017924.1)". The record is from RNAcentral. Lineage: Eukaryota; Metazoa; Chordata; Mammalia; Artiodactyla; Bovidae.